This 439-nucleotide ribosomal RNA is filed under the name uncultured bacterium. RNAcentral describes it as "bacterial SSU rRNA". It matches the Rfam family "Bacterial small subunit ribosomal RNA", at positions 954 to 1392 of the family's 1533-position model. The record is from RNAcentral.
AUGGGAACGCGAAGAACCUUACCUAUUCUUGACAUCCAGAGAACUUAGCAGAGAUGCUUUGGUGCCUUCGGGAACUCUGAGACAGGUGCUGCAUGGCUGUCGUCAGCUCGUGUUGUGAAAUGUUGGGUUAAGUCCCGCAACGAGCGCAACCCUUAUCCUUUGUUGCCAGCGGUCCGGCCGGGAACUCAAAGGAGACUGCCAGUGAUAAACUGGAGGAAGGUGGGGAUGACGUCAAGUCAUCAUGGCCCUUACGAGUAGGGCUACACACGUGCUACAAUGGCGCAUACAAAGAGAAGCGACCUCGCGAGAGCAAGCGGACCUCAUAAAGUGCGUCGUAGUCCGGAUUGGAGUCUGCAACUCGACUCCAUGAAGUCGGAAUCGCUAGUAAUCGUAGAUCAGAAUGCUACGGUGAAUACGUUCCCGGGUCUUGUACACACCG